GAAAAAGGAAUGGUCUGGCCCACCAACACUAUCAGCCUUUGGGCUCACAAGAAGCCCAUUUUUAUGAAGGCAGAAAAAUGUCUGUGAGUCAAGAUUUAUUGUGAUAUGAAUGACCCCAGAGCUAUGAAAAGGAAUAGGGAAAUGAUGCCUGCUGGUGACCUUACAUGACUGGAGUACAACUGGGAAGCUGGAUUGAAAUACUGCCAAUUCUAAAAUCCUUCAGUACUAUGUGGCCAACACAGUCUACUUCUUCCAUCGGUCAGUAGGUGUUGGGCAUGAACUAGAGUACGAAGUGACAACUUCAUUCAGAUGUUCUCUGUUAAUGGUACACUGAAGAUUUUAGCCACAGAAGGAAAUACAGAUCUGUACUGAAAAACUGGUUUAUCACACCAGCUGUCACUCCUCUUUCUCCUUUGUCUUCAAUGGAGAAACACCUGAAUAAAGCAGAACACCCUUCCCAGGGCAUCUCAAUGACAACAUUUAACCCUCAUGGAUAAACAGUACUCUGUUAAUAUGCUUCUGGACUUCAAAUAGCUUUUUAAAGCAUCCAUAUUUCUGCUGUGAUCCUACAUCAGUAGUACAGAGUGACAAGAACUUUUCCAAGGGGCUUAUUCCAAAGGAUGAUGACUGCAGGAGUUCUCACCUGCAUGACCUUCUGAACUCCAGUCAGUCCCAGCGCACCACCCAAAACACAAAGCCAGCACUUCCAGAAUCAUCUGCGUGAGGUGGAUCAAAUGAAAGCUGCUCUUCCAAGGAAGAAGCCGGGGAGGCAGAAGCUCUUUUUAUGUCCUCUACAAAGACUCAAGAGGCAAGCAAGAAGUACUCUGACCUGCUGCUUCCCUUCCUUGCCUCUGCCACCAGGCAGCUGCCCUACACUGGCCUACUCCAGCACAGGGGAACGUGCUGUGGACGUUCUCCAACUUCCCUAUAGAAAAUUCAUGGGGAGCAGGAUCAAUGCUCAAGUUGACUGCCUCUGAACUCAGGGGAGUACUGAGUGUAUAAAUGAGCAUGCCAAAAAAUACUAUUCUGUUGAAUAUUUAAGUGCUGCAAGUGUACAGAGCUUCUACAGGUCUCACACACAAAAAACCCAAAACAGUUGUUCCACCACCCUGCUCCUGCCAAUAAAGUUAGCUAGUCUUCUAACUAACCCAUCCAUAUCUGAAAAUAUAAUGGCACUAUCUAUCUAUACAUCCAUCUCUAUUUCCACAUAUGUACAAACAGAGCUUAAAGCUACAAUCACUCAGUUGUUUCAGAAUGUCGAUUAUAGGAUGCAAUAAAGGAGUAAAAAUACAUCCCUGACUUGCACAAGAUAUGAUCAAACAUGUGAAAAGGUUUUCCAGCUAUGACUCACUAAGAAAUGGGUGGAGGUUUGUAAGGCUGCUGGCUGGAAGGAGUAAGCCCUCUUCCACACUGGCCAGCAAGGACUGGGAAUUGGCUGCUAUUCUGUCAAAAGGCCAGGUAUAUCCUGGUUGUUUUCCUGCUAUCCUACUG
Aptenodytes forsteri (emperor penguin) is the source of this 1491-nucleotide long non-coding RNA. RefSeq lists it as uncharacterized. The record is from RefSeq and is a predicted model, not a curated record. Lineage: Eukaryota; Metazoa; Chordata; Aves; Sphenisciformes; Spheniscidae. The transcript has 2 exons.